RNA transcript from Mastomys coucha (southern multimammate mouse), 889 nucleotides. The record is from RefSeq and is a predicted model, not a curated record. NCBI's taxonomy places the organism in Eukaryota, Metazoa, Chordata, Mammalia, Rodentia, Muridae.
CGCCGGCGGGUGACUGGACGCCCUCGCGGCCGUGCGGUGCAGCGUUGCGAGAGCUCAAAAUGAAUUAUAUGCCCGGCACCGCCAGCCUCAUCGAGGACAUCAACAAAAAGCAUUUGGUCCUACUUCGAGAUGGAAGGACACUUAUAGGUUUUUUAAGAAGCAUUGAUCAAUUUGCUAACUUAGUGCUCCAUCAGACUGUGGAGCGGAUUCAUGUGGGCAAAAAGUAUGGUGAUAUUCCUCGAGGGAUAUUCGUGGUCAGAGGAGAAAAUGUGGUCCUACUAGGAGAAAUAGACCUGGAGAAGGAGAGUGACACACCCCUUCAGCAAGUGUCUAUUGAAGAGAUCCUAGAAGAGCAGAGGGUACAACAGCAGACCAGACUGGAGGCAGAGAAGCUGAAGGUCCAGACCCUUAAAGAUCGGGGUCUCUCCAUUCCUCGAGAAGACACUCUGGACGAGUACUGAGUCCUUGCUCAGAGAUUGCUCUAGAGAGCAGGUGCUGUCGCCUGGUCAUCUCACACAUUUGACCAGAGUAUCACAUUGAACAGUGAUCUCAUUCUUUCAUGGAUGCCAACAUGAAGAAAUCAUAGGGUUUUGUUUUGUUUUGUUUUUUUAACAAAAUCAUUAUAUAUUAGUUUUGGUUUUCUUCUUCAAACAGUCUCAAGAAAUAGUCCUGGCUGACCUAGAACUCACUAUGUAAACCAGGAUGACCUCUAGCUUGUGGAAUUGCAGGUGGCCUCCACCAGCCCAGCUUUACUAUUGAAACAAACAGUGGCAUGACCUCUCUUCACACAAGCCACUGUGGAGCCAAGAAUCAUGUCUUUAUAUUGCUUAUCUCAGAGUUUACAUUUCUUUUCAAAAAACAUUUCAUUUACUUGUAAAUAAAAAAUGAA